CAGCCGCCACGGUAAUACGUAGGGUGCAAGCGUUAAUCGGAAUUACUGGGCGUAAAGCGUGCGCAGGCGGUUUGUUAAGACAGAUGUGAAAUCCCCGGGCUUAACCUGGGAACUGCAUUUGUGACUGGCAAGCUAGAGUAUGGCAGAGGGGGGUGGAAUUCCGCGUGUAGCAGUGAAAUGCGUAGAUAUGCGGAGGAACACCGAUGGCGAAGGCAGCCCCCUGGGCCAAUACUGACGCUCAUGCACGAAAGCGUGGGGAGCAAACAGGAUUAGAUACCCCAGUAGUCCCUGUCUCUUAUAC
This 301-nucleotide ribosomal RNA is filed under the name uncultured bacterium. RNAcentral's name for it is "partial 16S ribosomal RNA". It matches the Rfam family "Bacterial small subunit ribosomal RNA", at positions 509 to 807 of the family's 1533-position model. The record is from RNAcentral.